This 408-nucleotide ribosomal RNA is filed under the name Triticum aestivum (bread wheat). RNAcentral describes it as "partial small subunit ribosomal RNA". The record is from RNAcentral. Lineage: Eukaryota; Viridiplantae; Streptophyta; Magnoliopsida; Poales; Poaceae.
AUGGAUGAUGAUCCGAUUCAAUCAUCGUCUCGCCGAGCAAUUCUUGGCGCGCGCGAGGGAAUAUGUUUGCAUUUUGAUUCUCUGGUCCGGAUUGCGGUGGUGGUGGUGAUCCGGGCUAGAGCAUCCAGUCGAGCCGGUUGGUGGGCGGCGGGGGCGCGCCGGCGGAGGACGCGGUGGAGCUGUCGGUGGUGGUGGUGGAGGAGGAGGACGAAGUGGUUGGUAGCGACGACAGCAGGUCGAACAUCUCCCACCGCGUCGUCUGCGCCGGGGCCUGCGCCUGCGGAGGAGCUGUCGGGUGUCGUUGCCGCUGCGACUGCGGCGGCUGCUGCUGCCUCGCCGGCGCUGGCUGUGGCGGCUGCUUCUUCGCGGCGGCGGGCUUGCUCGCGAUGGUGGCGUUCUUGGCCAUGA